Molecule: ribosomal RNA, 576 nt
Filed under: uncultured eukaryote
Lineage: Eukaryota
Description: bacterial SSU rRNA
Rfam family: Eukaryotic small subunit ribosomal RNA
Source: RNAcentral
AUACCCCUUGGGGUAGCAUUUAUUAGAUUGAAACCAAUGUAAACGUUGAGUCAUAAUAAUUGUGCGGAUCGCGUUGAAUGACGCGAUGAAUCGACUGGGUUUCUGCCCUAUCAGUUUUGGAUGGCUGUGUAUUGGACAGCCAUGACAUUGACGGGUAACGGAGGAUCAGGGUUCGACACCGGCGAGGGCGCCUGAGAUAUGGCGACCACAUCCAAGGAAGGCAGCAGGCGCGUAAAUUACCCAAUGCUAAUUCAGCGAGGUAGUGACAAGAAAUAACGAUUUUCGGUCUUCAAGAUCGGAAAAUUGGAAUGAGAACAAUUUAAAUCCCUUAUCGAGGAUCAAUUGGAGGGCAAGUCUGGUGCCAGCAGCCGCGGUAAUUCCAGCUCCAAUAGCGUAUAUUAAAGUUGUUGCAGUUAAAAAGCUCGUAGUUGGAUUUGCGUUGGUGAGUGGGUUGUGGUCGCAAGACGAGGACUCGUUUCAGCAACAUUUUUUGGGACCAGGGGUUCCUUGGCAUUGAGUUGUUGAGGUUCAACUACCCAUCGUUUACUGUGAAAAAAUUAGAGUGUUUCAAGCAGG